AUGAAUUUAGAGGUCUCCAUACCGAGCCUGAAAGGUGAGGAACGACCGCUAACGACCCACAACGACCCACCCUCCCAACCUAAUGCCGGUUCUACUCCGCCUGUCCACUCUGGGGAGUUGUGCUUUGACUUGGAAGCCCUCGGAUUGAAGGAUGGGCCCAAGACCCUCACAGGUGAAGCCUCAGAUGGGUCGUGGACCCUUGUGGGUGAAGCUCGGCGGUUUCCGAGUCCAUGUGGGUUGGCCCCUGCGGAGCCUGGAGCCUUCUUGCCUGCGGGCUUGCUGAUCCCGCGGAGCCAGCCAGCUCCCUUCCUGCUUCUGAUGCGCCAGUCCAAGAAGCUGGGACGGCUGCUGGGAACCCAGCGCCGUCCUCUCGCUUCCUGUGAUCUAUCAGUCCUGCUCUCCGCGGAAGCUCGGCCUGGCGCACCUCAGGCCCGCAGCAGAACCAAGGCUUGGCGGCAGCUGCAACCUCCACAGACGGCAGCUGCAACCUCCAUAGACGGCCGCCAGGUGGCGCCGUACCGGGGCCCGAGAGCAGGCAGGCCCGGGGCGGGGUGGGAGCGACUCAAAGCUACGUGCCUGGGGAGGCCGCGGGCCCUCGCGGACUGCGGAACUUGCAUCCUGCCGCCGGAUUUUCACAUCUGCCGGCCCAGAGGAAACAAUGACGUUGGGGUUUUGGGGGACUGCCCCUUGACUCGGGCGAAUCAGACACGAACGGCCGAUCCCUUGCCCUCUUCCAUCCGCCUGCCGCUGCUCCCACCUACCGACUCCUAGAGCUUAUUUGUCGCUCCUGCAGCCUCCAGGAAUGCAAAUAAUUUCUCACUGGGUUUUGGUGAGGGCGGAGCUGCGGAGAAGCACGCGCCCAACAGCUUUCGCCGCAGCUGGGUUCCCGGGCGCCGGCGGCUGCGGCCCUCAGAUGGGUGGGGGCGGAGGCUGCAAUAUGCACAGGCGGCCACAGUGUGGCGCAAGCGCCCUGCCGUGGGACAUGCUCGGCGCGCGACGCUCCAACCCAUCAUUCACGGGUCAAAUAAUCUAGAAUCAAGUUGCUACGUGUGUCAUACUCCUCCUGUUUUUUCCCUAAACUUUUAGUAGAGUCAUUUACAUAGUUCAGUUUUUAUCUCAGCUAUGUUACAGAGUGGCAGGAAAAUAUUUUGUCUCCAAAUUACAGCCCAAGUGUGAGCAGCGUAGCCUGAAGCUAGUUAGUAGUCAACCAGAAAAUCAGGAAGGUAAAGCAAACCUCUGGAGGCAAGGUCUGGACUC
Molecule: RNA transcript, 1257 nt
Organism: Cercocebus atys (sooty mangabey)
Lineage: Eukaryota; Metazoa; Chordata; Mammalia; Primates; Cercopithecidae
Exons: 3
Source: RefSeq, a predicted model, not a curated record